GCGCCUGUGGUGGAAUGGCAGACACGAUAGAUUUAGGAUCUAUUUUCGAGAGGAGUGCAGGUUCAAGUCCUGUUAGGCGCACCA
This 84-nucleotide transfer RNA is filed under the name Clostridia bacterium. RNAcentral describes it as "tRNA-Leu". It matches the Rfam family "tRNA". Rfam says of the family: Transfer RNA (tRNA) molecules are approximately 80 nucleotides in length. Their secondary structure includes four short double-helical elements and three loops (D, anti-codon, and T loops). Lineage: Bacteria; Bacillati; Bacillota; Clostridia. The record is from RNAcentral.